Molecule: small nucleolar RNA, 68 nt
Organism: Epinephelus moara (kelp grouper)
Lineage: Eukaryota; Metazoa; Chordata; Actinopteri; Perciformes; Serranidae
Source: RefSeq, a predicted model, not a curated record
CUGGAGAUGAUGCAUAUUUAACACCUGAGUGUCCAUGAAGGUCUUUGUAUUCAUACUGUCUGAUCCAG